Molecule: ribosomal RNA, 252 nt
Filed under: uncultured bacterium
Lineage: Bacteria
Description: partial 16S ribosomal RNA
Rfam family: Bacterial small subunit ribosomal RNA
Source: RNAcentral
UACGGAGGGUGCGAGCGUUGUCCGGAAUCACUGGGUGUAAAGGGCGCGUAGGCGGCUGGGGAAGUCGGCGGUGAAAGCCCGGAGCUCAACUCCGGGUCGGCCGUCGAGACUCCUCGGCUCGAGCUCACUAGAGGCAGAUGGAAUUCCGCGUGUAGCAGUGAAAUGCGUAGAGAUGCGGAGGAACACCGAUGGCGAAGGCAGCCCCCUGGGCUGACACUGACGCUCAGCACGAAAGCGUGGGGAGCAAACAGG